CGAAGUGGGACUUCGAAUGGCAUUUACGCCUUAACGGCGAACAAUUUCUUGCUGAAAGUGAGUCAUGAGUUUCCUCGCUCGUACAAUACACCAGGGGAGUUCAAAAGCAAAAGCUUUGGAGGGUAAAGGCAAGCUAGUCUUACCUUAAAGCCAGUGAAAGAAAGUUCCAGUCAGCAAGUCUCUUUUUACUGUGAGUGGGAGAAAGCUUUUUUUUUUAGCAAGCA
RNAcentral lists this long non-coding RNA (224 nucleotides) under Elaeis guineensis (African oil palm). RNAcentral's name for it is "long non-coding RNA (EGUI_LNC064641)". The record is from RNAcentral. Lineage: Eukaryota; Viridiplantae; Streptophyta; Magnoliopsida; Arecales; Arecaceae.